UGUUUCCGCUUUGGCAAAAGCUGGACAACUGCACCUCACAUCCUUGGGCGGAGCCCGCAACACCCAAGAGAACUACAAGCCCCGGCAGCUAGACACCUUAUGUGGUUGUGGGAAUUGUGGUCCCCGAUAGAAGCAAGGUACAUUCCAGCAACAAUUUCACUCUCCCAGAGAUUUCAACUCUGCCUCCUGCCAGGUGGACUCUGGUUUUCACUGGCUUCUGGGUGUAUACUUGUGAGUGCAGAUACAUCAUGGAGAGGCCAGAGGCAUCAUUUGGAGUCACAGAUGGUGACACUUCCGCCUCACCUUCAGGAACUGUAUUUGACUCUUUCAGAAACACUGACAGAAGAAGGUGUUUUCCUCCCAACUUCGGAACUAUCUUAACUUUCCCAUUUCCUCUCAUGGCAAGGGAAGCUCUUUAAGAAACCCUCUCCACUCGAGGGAGUGCUCAUGAGCUGACCAGCGAGCCUCUCAUAAUAUAACAGCAUUACUUUUCUAUUAUCCUUAUUAUUGUUCUACUCUGUAUUCUUUUCCUUCAGAGUGUUUGCUGCAUUGUUAAGUUAAUAAGGGUUUUUUCCCCCAUUAUUUCCUCUACUUGUCUUGAUGCACAUAUUUUCUCUCUUAGUGUCAAAAUAAGGUGAUGGUGAAUUAGGAGUCCUUCCUGAGCUGAGAAUACUUUUGUAAUCUGGUAACCUUUGGCAUGAAGCACAUAUCCUAGUGAAUGAUGGAGCACUUAAGAGUGAUUCACCACUGAACAUUACAGAAAAUAGGCUGAGGGGCUCAGAAAUUCAAGGCAAGUUCCUUCUACUCAGCGUGGCGUAUAUACUGUACUCUCACUCUCCUAUCCCCUAUUAUGUGGUUAAGAGAGAGGAGAUAAUGAUGGCUUCCUAAAGUUACCUAUAAUGCACUCAAAACUCUGUUAGGUGUAAUGGUUUUAAAAGGCAGAAUGAAAACACAGCUAGGAGAUCAACACAAAAGGAAUCAUUUGCUGAUAGCGACUGUGAGCCUGCGUUCCUACA
This is a long non-coding RNA of Mesocricetus auratus (golden hamster), 1016 nucleotides long. RefSeq lists it as uncharacterized. The record is from RefSeq and is a predicted model, not a curated record. NCBI's taxonomy places the organism in Eukaryota, Metazoa, Chordata, Mammalia, Rodentia, Cricetidae. The transcript is spliced from 4 exons.